RNAcentral lists this long non-coding RNA (199 nucleotides) under Capsicum annuum. RNAcentral's name for it is "long non-coding RNA (CANN_LNC013737)". The record is from RNAcentral. Lineage: Eukaryota; Viridiplantae; Streptophyta; Magnoliopsida; Solanales; Solanaceae.
UCCAUCUUUAGAACGCUCCUCAUCAUGCCACCUCAAUGAAUCUGCUAUCUUUGAGCAUAUAAAUAGCCUUUUAAGUCUAGGAACUAAUGGAAAAUAUCUCAAAACUUUUACUAGAACACGAUGAGGUUUUUUAGAAGUCUCAACAACCUCACAAUCUACUUCAGGAGGUUUUCAUAAAGUCCUUCAGCUUGUGCAACAU